This is an RNA transcript of Xenopus tropicalis (tropical clawed frog), 2815 nucleotides long. It is a transcript of the gene named poly(A) binding protein cytoplasmic 4, with no coding region annotated. NCBI's taxonomy places the organism in Eukaryota, Metazoa, Chordata, Amphibia, Anura, Pipidae. The record is from RefSeq and is marked validated. The transcript has 16 exons.
GCAAGUGACAACCGGUCUCUUUUGUCCUCGCUGUGGUGCGGGGAGCUGGCUAGAGUUUGCUGCCUGAUGGUGAUCGAGUAACAGGGCAAACCGAUCGUGCACUGAAACAUAAAUAUUUGGGUUGCGCCUGUGAAUUGUCUUUAUAAACAUACGCUCUUAACCCGCCCUGAUUCAUUCGUGUUGCAUAUUUAGGUACAUUGAUACCGCAGACGCACCGCUGUUCUUGCACUUUAUUAGGCCAGUUAUUUAGCGUCUCCUGUCUACUCCUGUUACCAUAAGGCGGCAUUCGCAACACCUGAUAGGAAUCUUGGCCAGCAACAUACAUUAGCCCCCCGCAGAUACCACAGCAAGCUUUUAAACAUCCACUACGAUCGGUGCCAGCCCAGCUCCUGCGCCUCUACAUCUCAGUUGCUGGAGUGUAUAGGCAAGUCAAAGCAAGCACUUCCCUGACUUACCGAAGCCUUAAUAUUUAUUACAUCUCCUGUGGAGAUCAUAUUCAAUUUAGCCGUCCGGUAGUUGGUCGCUGCCCCCUGGCUGGGUGAUGCACACAGCUGCUAGCAGUUACCCCAUGGCGUCCCUUUAUGUGGGGGAUUUGCACCCCGAUGUUACCGAGGCCAUGCUCUAUGAGAAGUUCAGCCCUGCGGGACCAGUCUUGUCCAUCCGUGUGUGCAGGGACAUGAUUACCCGCCGCUCUCUGGGCUAUGCCUAUGUCAACUUCCAACAGCCUGCCGAUGCUGAACGUGCUUUGGAUACUAUGAAUUUUGAUGUUAUUAAAGGAAAACCCAUACGUAUUAUGUGGUCUCAGCGGGACCCGUCCUUGAGGAAAUCUGGAGUUGGCAAUGUUUUCAUAAAGAACCUAGACAAAUCAAUUGACAAUAAAGCACUAUAUGACACUUUUUCUGCAUUUGGAAAUAUCCUUUCUUGUAAGGUAGUGUGUGAUGAGAAUGGUUCCAAGGGUUAUGCUUUUGUGCACUUUGAGACUCAGGAUGCUGCAGAUCGAGCCAUAGAAAAGAUGAAUGGCAUGCUGCUCAACGACCGCAAAGUGUUCGUUGGGAGGUUUAAAUGCCGUAGAGAACGAGAAGCAGAGCUUGGAGCCAAAGCCAAGGAGUUCACAAAUGUUUAUAUCAAAAAUUUUGGAGAAGACAUGGAUGAUGAACGGUUAAAGGAGACAUUUAGCAAAUAUGGGAAGACUCUGAGCGUUAAAGUGAUGACUGACCCCAGUGGCAAGUCCAAAGGGUUUGGCUUUGUGAGCUUUGAAAGGCACGAAGAUGCAAAUAAGGCUGUAGAUGACAUGAACGGGAAAGAUGUAAAUGGAAAGAUAAUGUUUGUAGGCAGGGCCCAGAAAAAGGUGGAGCGUCAAGCAGAACUCAAGCGAAGAUUUGAGCAGUUGAAGCAAGAGAGAAUUAGCCGCUACCAGGGAGUCAAUUUAUAUAUAAAAAAUUUGGAUGACACCAUUGAUGAUGAGAAGCUCAGAAAAGAGUUUUCCCCAUUCGGAUCAAUCACAAGUGCUAAGGUGAUGCUAGAGGAGGGCCGCAGCAAAGGUUUUGGAUUUGUCUGUUUUUCCUCACCUGAAGAGGCCACUAAAGCAGUGACUGAGAUGAAUGGACGCAUUGUUGGCUCAAAACCACUAUAUGUAGCUCUUGCUCAGAGAAAAGAAGAACGUAAAGCUCAUCUCACUAACCAGUACAUGCAACGUAUUGCAGGAAUGCGGGCCCUGCCUGCCAAUACUCUUAUCAACCAGUUCCAGCCUGCACCAGGGGGGUACUUUGUGCCAGCUGUUCCACAGACCCAGAGUAGACCUACAUACUAUGCGCCAAACCAUAUGGCUCAGAUACGACCAGGUCCUCGUUGGCAGCAAACUGGACGACCUCAAGGUUUUCAGCCCAUGCCCAACACACUGCGCCAAAGUGGGCCUCGGCAGUCACUACGCCAUAUGCCACCAUCCAAUACUCAGGGUACCCGUGGCAUUCCCAGCGUAACCCAGAGAGUUGGGGUAUCCUCUUCUACCCAAACAAUGGGUCCUAGACCACCAGUCUCUGCUCCUCCACCACGUGCUGUUCCUCCAUACAAGUAUACCCGUUGUCCUCUCCCUGGAGUGCAACCUCUGCAGAGCCAACUUUUCAAGCAAUAACAGCUUUAAGUCAUUUGGGACCCCUCAGCCAGCUGUCCAUGUGCAGGGACAAGAGCCUCUCACGGCCUCCAUGUUGGCUUCUGCUCCACCCCAGGAACAGAAGCAGAUGUUGGGAGAACGUUUAUUUCCUCUUAUCCAAGCCAUGCAUCCGUCAUUGGCGGGUAAAAUUACAGGAAUGCUGCUGGAAAUAGACAACUCAGAACUGUUACAUAUGUUGGAGUCCCCAGAGUCUCUGCGCUCUAAGGUGGAAGAGGCAGUAGCUGUGCUUCAGGCUCAUCAAGCCAAGAAAGAUGCUGCACAGAAAGUGGGAAUUGUCACUGCUACCUCUUGAACCAGGCUGACCUGGAAUAAAGAAGCCAAAAUCAAAUCACAAGAUGUGUGAGGGUUUGGUAAGUGGCUGCCAAGAACCUUUUCCCCUUCACAUAAAGAGUGUCUCCGCAGGAGAUGCUAAUUUGUUAAAAAUGAGGUCUAUGCACUAUGUCGCUUUAUGCUCUUGAGAUGAUAAGCCACAUCUUGGAUGAGCAUCAAUAGGAUCCUUUCCAAGGAAAUCCUGAGAGACUUUUAAGAUUGCAAAGGAUUUUUAUUUUUUGCGGAUUUUGAGUUGACAACAAAUGUAAAACAUUGUUUGAAUGUAACAUCCUAAAGUUGUUUCUCAGUGAAAUAAUAAAACAUUUGUUAAUUGCC